RNA transcript from Drosophila novamexicana, 1879 nucleotides. It is a transcript of the gene named dnaJ protein homolog 1, with no coding region annotated. The record is from RefSeq and is a predicted model, not a curated record. Lineage: Eukaryota; Metazoa; Arthropoda; Insecta; Diptera; Drosophilidae. The transcript has 8 exons.
GCGUCGUCAUCGUCGGUGAUCGCGCGGUUGUUGUCGUUGCGCUGUAACGGUUUUUGCAGGCGCUCAGUCUACGCAUUUUAGCGGCCAUUGGCAGUUAAUACACCUCCCCGCCUCGCCAGCUUUUAUGAAACAAACGUGUUAAUAAUAAAUAAAAACAGAUUGCAAAUUUGAAUCCAAUACCAAUUAAGAUACCACAGAAAAGAAAACAACAAACAGACAACAAAAUGUAUGUGCCAUUAUAGAAAGCAGGAAUUUUGGAGCAGUAUCAUAGCUACUAAGUAACGCCCGGAACUAGAAACAUAUAUAUACACACAUAUAUAUAUGGACUUCAGACAAAUGAUAUAUAAACUUACCUUAGAGCAGAGCGCAUAGAAUUAAAGACGUCGCCUUUUUGGGAACUUCAUAUAACUAUAUAAAGCAACUCAAAACCUCCCACACACACACAUACACAAUGGGCAAAGAUUACUAUAAGACUUUAGGCCUAACAAAAACUGCCACCGAUGAUGAGAUCAAAAAGGCCUACAGAAAACUGGCGUUACGUUAUCAUCCCGAUAAGAAUAAAGCCGCAAAUGCUGAGGAGAAAUUUAAAGAGGUCGCCGAGGCAUACGAAGUGCUCUCGGAUAAGAGCAAGCGCGACAUUUACGAUAAAUAUGGCGAGGAUGGACUGAAGAGUGGCGGUGCUCGCAAUGGCGGCGGCAGUGGCAAAAAUACAUUUACAUAUCAGUUCCAUGGUGAUCCGCGGGCCACAUUUACACAGUUCUUUGGCAACAGUAAUCCGUUUGCCUCGUUCUUUGAUAUGGGCGACAAUCUGUUUGAUAAGAAUGUUUUCGAUUUGGAUACGGAACCCGAUUUCUUCUCAUCGCCAUUUGGCGGCUUGGGCUCUAGGCAUGGCCUAGGCAGCGCCUUCAGGCCCUCUUUUAGAUCACACUCCUUCAAUGUGCACACCCCCUUCAAAAAGGAACAGAAACAGGAUCCACCCGUCGAGCAUGAUCUCUAUGUCACGCUGGAGGAAAUCUAUCAUGGCUGUGUUAAGAAAAUGAAAAUCUCACGUCGUGUUGUCCAGCCCGAUGGCAGCUCCAAGAAGGAGGACAAAGUCCUGCAAAUAUCUAUUAAACCCGGCUGGAAAUCGGGCACCAAAGUCACGUUCCAGAAGGAGGGCGAUCAGGCGCCCGGCAAAAUACCAGCGGAUAUUGUGUUCAUCAUUCGGGACAAGCCACAUGCCAUGUUCAAGCGCGAGGGCAGCGAUUUGCGGUACACGGCGAGGCUGACGCUCAAGCAGGCGCUCUGCGGCGUUGUUUUUCAAGUUCCUACAAUGUCCGGCGAUAAACUGCGCAUCAGCACCAUGCAGGAGAUCAUCAAGCCGAACACUGUGAAACGCAUCCAGGGCUAUGGAUUACCCUUUCCCAAGGAUACCACGCGCAAGGGCGAUCUAUUGGUGGCCUUCGAUAUACAAUUUCCGGAGAAAUUGACUGCCGCGCAAAAAGAAGUGCUCAGAGACAUGUUAUGAAGAUAGAGAGAAAUAAUAAAUGCCGCCUUAACCACGACAACGACUCACUCACAACCCGGCAACAGCUCAGUCUAUCCAGUCUUCUUCUACUACGUAUAAUAAAAACAAACAUGUGAAACACAAGUGAAUCGCUUAAAAACUCUUGCUGCAUAUCUCUUAUAUGGAUUCAAGUCGCAAAUAUAAUGAAAUUCUUAUAAGACAAUUAUCCAUAAAUAAGUUUCUUCACAUCAGCAUUUAACUUAAAAGCGGCCUGGUUUCAAACAGAAGUCAUCCAUCAAGACAUUUUCCGUUCUUUUUAUCUUGAGCAAAUGCACUUUUUAUGCUCCUGAUAUAACAAAAAAGAUGGGUUUCAUCUAAUUUCGUUACAAAGGA